This 684-nucleotide small RNA is filed under the name Pongo abelii (Sumatran orangutan). RNAcentral's name for it is "processed transcript". Lineage: Eukaryota; Metazoa; Chordata; Mammalia; Primates; Hominidae. The record is from RNAcentral.
CUUGGACCCCACAGGUCCAGGCUGGCGCUGGCCUGGGCUCCACAGCCUCCCAAGGCCCCCAUGGGGCCUUGGGCGGGGGCAUCAGCCAUGACCGGACGUUUAGAGUUCUGGUUCCGUCUCUCAUUUGGGGCGUCGGAUAAAAAUCCAGGCUUCCGGACCCAGCCCACACUGCAUCAGAGUCAUCAGGAAACUCUGGUUGUGGCAGGCGCCACAAGUGAGCUGGUUUGACCACUGACUUAGUUCAACACCGCCAUUUCGCUUGUAGAAAAGUGAACCCCGAGAAGGCACAGAACUUACCUGAAGUCGCCAGGCAGUUAGGCAGCAGGGCCGAGGGCUGCCCAGGAGCUGCAGGACAAGCACCAGGAGCCCCUCCGGGUAGCUACUACCCUGGACCCCCCAGUAGUGGAGGGCAGUAUGGUAGUGGGCUACCCCCUGGUGGUGGUUAUGGGGGUCCUGCCCCUGGAGGGCCUUAUGGACCACCAGCUGGUGGAGGGCCCUAUGGACACCCCAAUCCUGGGAUGUUCCCCUCUGGAACUCCAGGAGGACCAUAUGGCGGUGCAGCUCCAGGGGGCCCCUAUGGUCAGCCACCUCCAAGUUCCUACGGUGCCCAGCAGCCUGGGCUUUAUGGACAGGGUGGCGCCCCUCCCAAUGUGGAUCCUGAGGCCUACUCCUGGUUCCAGUCGG